Molecule: ribosomal RNA, 439 nt
Filed under: Salmonella enterica subsp. enterica
Lineage: Bacteria; Pseudomonadati; Pseudomonadota; Gammaproteobacteria; Enterobacterales; Enterobacteriaceae
Description: bacterial SSU rRNA
Rfam family: Bacterial small subunit ribosomal RNA
Source: RNAcentral
AAAUUGAAGAGUUUGAUCAUGGCUCAGAUUGAACGCUGGCGGCAGGCCUAACACAUGCAAGUCGAACGGUAACAGGAAGCAGCUUGCUGCUUCGCUGACGAGUGGCGGACGGGUGAGUAAUGUCUGGGAAACUGCCGAUGGAGGGGGAUAACUACUGGAAACGGUGGCUAAUACCGCAUAACGUCGCAAGACCAAAGAGGGGGACCUUCGGGCCUCUUGCCAUCAGAUGUGCCCAGAUGGGAUUAGCUUGUUGGUGAGGUAACGGCUCACCAAGGCGACGAUCCCUAGCUGGUCUGAGAGGAUGACCAGCCACACUGGAACUGAGACACGGUCCAGACUCCUACGGGAGGCAGCAGUGGGGAAUAUUGCACAAUGGGCGCAAGCCUGAUGCAGCCAUGCCGCGUGUAUGAAGAAGGCCUUCGGGUUGUAAAGUACUUUC